This 387-nucleotide unclassified non-coding RNA is filed under the name soil metagenome. Its description in RNAcentral is "partial contains 5.8S ribosomal RNA, internal transcribed spacer 2, and large subunit ribosomal RNA". The stretch from base 1 to 120 matches the Rfam family "5.8S ribosomal RNA", at positions 35 to 154 of the family's 154-position model. The record is from RNAcentral.
GAUGAAGAACGUAGCGAAAUGCGAUAAGUAAUGUGAAUUGCAGAAUUCAGUGAAUCAUCGAAUCUUUGAACGCACCUUGCACCCUUUGGCAUUCCGAAGGGUAUGCUCGUUUGAGUGUCAUUGUACUCUCACACUCUCCGAUCCUAUGGAUUCGGGGAGCGGUGGACUUGGGUGUUGCUGCCUUUCCCUGUGGCUCACCUCAAAUGCGUCAGUGCACCUCUUGGUUGGACAUAGUACGGCGUGAUAAGUGUCUUCGCCGGCACCUCGCAAGAGGGUGGCCGAUCGGGAGCUCUGCGCUUUCAAACCGUCUUCGGACAAUUUCUGACAUCUUGACCUCCAAUCGAGUAGGACUACCCGCUGAACUUAAGCAUAUCAAUAAGCGGAGGA